This 1343-nucleotide ribosomal RNA is filed under the name Mycobacterium sp. DWMJ-1247A1. Its description in RNAcentral is "bacterial SSU rRNA". It matches the Rfam family "Bacterial small subunit ribosomal RNA", at positions 81 to 1423 of the family's 1533-position model. The record is from RNAcentral. Lineage: Bacteria; Bacillati; Actinomycetota; Actinomycetes; Mycobacteriales; Mycobacteriaceae.
UUCGGGGUACUCGAGUGGCGAACGGGUGAGUAACACGUGGGCAAUCUGCCCUGCACACCGGGAUAAGCCUGGGAAACUGGGUCUAAUACCGGAUAGGACCACUUGGCGCAUGCCUUGUGGUGGAAAGCUUUUGCGGUGUGGGAUGGGCCCGCGGCCUAUCAGCUUGUUGGUGGGGUGACGGCCUACCAAGGCGACGACGGGUAGCCGGCCUGAGAGGGUGUCCGGCCACACUGGGACUGAGAUACGGCCCAGACUCCUACGGGAGGCAGCAGUGGGGAAUAUUGCACAAUGGGCGCAAGCCUGAUGCAGCGACGCCGCGUGGGGGAUGACGGCCUUUCGGGUUGUAAACCUCUUUCACCAUCGACGAAGGUCCGGGUUUUCUCGGAUUGACGGUAGGUGGAGAAGAAGCACCGGCCAACUACGUGCCAGCAGCCGCGGUAAUACGUAGGGUGCGAGCGUUGUCCGGAAUUACUGGGCGUAAAGAGCUCGUAGGUGGUUUGUCGCGUUGUUCGUGAAAUCUCACGGCUUAACUGUGAGCGUGCGGGCGAUACGGGCAGACUAGAGUACUGCAGGGGAGACUGGAAUUCCUGGUGUAGCGGUGGAAUGCGCAGAUAUCAGGAGGAACACCGGUGGCGAAGGCGGGUCUCUGGGCAGUAACUGACGCUGAGGAGCGAAAGCGUGGGGAGCGAACAGGAUUAGAUACCCUGGUAGUCCACGCCGUAAACGGUGGGUACUAGGUGUGGGUUUCCUUCCUUGGGAUCCGUGCCGUAGCUAACGCAUUAAGUACCCCGCCUGGGGAGUACGGCCGCAAGGCUAAAACUCAAAGGAAUUGACGGGGGCCCGCACAAGCGGCGGAGCAUGUGGAUUAAUUCGAUGCAACGCGAAGAACCUUACCUGGGUUUGACAUGCACAGGACGCGUCUAGAGAUAGGCGUUCCCUUGUGGCCUGUGUGCAGGUGGUGCAUGGCUGUCGUCAGCUCGUGUCGUGAGAUGUUGGGUUAAGUCCCGCAACGAGCGCAACCCUUGUCUCAUGUUGCCAGCGGGUAAUGCCGGGGACUCGUGAGAGACUGCCGGGGUCAACUCGGAGGAAGGUGGGGAUGACGUCAAGUCAUCAUGCCCCUUAUGUCCAGGGCUUCACACAUGCUACAAUGGCCGGUACAAAGGGCUGCGAUGCCGUGAGGUUAAGCGAAUCCUUUUAAAGCCGGUCUCAGUUCGGAUCGGGGUCUGCAACUCGACCCCGUGAAGUCGGAGUCGCUAGUAAUCGCAGAUCAGCAACGCUGCGGUGAAUACGUUCCCGGGCCUUGUACACACCGCCCGUCACGUCAUGAAAGUCGGUAACACCCG